AGAAUUUAGCAGAGAUGCUUUAGUGCCUUCGGGAACUCUGAGACAGGUGCUGCAUGGCUGUCGUCAGCUCGUGUUGUGAAAUGUUGGGUUAAGUCCCGCAACGAGCGCAACCCUUAUCCUUUGUUGCCAGCACGUAAUGGUGGGAACUCAAAGGAGACUGCCGGUGAUAAACCGGAGGAAGGUGGGGAUGACGUCAAGUCAUCAUGGCUCUUACGAGUAGGGCUACACACGUGCUACAAUGGCGCAUACAAAGAGAAGCGACCUCGCGAGAGCAAGCGGACCUCAUAAAGUGCGUCGUAGUCCGGAUUGGAGUCUGCAACUCGACUCCAUGAAGUCGGAAUCGCUAGUAAUCGUAAAUCAGAAUGUUACGGUGAAUACGUUCCCGGGCCUUGUACACACCGCCCGUCACACCAUGGGAGUGGGUUGCAAAAGAAGUAGAUAGCUUAACCUUCGGGAGGGCGUUUACCACUUUGUGAUUCAUGACUGGGAUGAAGUCGUAACAAGGUAGGCGUAGUGCU
Molecule: ribosomal RNA, 518 nt
Filed under: uncultured bacterium
Lineage: Bacteria
Description: bacterial SSU rRNA
Rfam family: Bacterial small subunit ribosomal RNA
Source: RNAcentral